This 223-nucleotide long non-coding RNA is filed under the name Mytilus galloprovincialis (Mediterranean mussel). The record is from RNAcentral. Lineage: Eukaryota; Metazoa; Mollusca; Bivalvia; Mytilida; Mytilidae.
GGUUUUUUUUAAUCAGAAUAACAGUUUUUGGAAUAGUGUUCUGUAUAUUGGACAGUUUACUGUUCUUUACAGUGUGGACAAAAGAAAGUAUCCCCUCUCCGUAAGACUCUAACAUCACUACAGAAUUGGAGAUGUGUCCAGUGACGGCAGUUAUCAUUGUCACAUUGUGCCCAUUUGACAAACACAAUUCCUGCUAGUUGUCUGAUCUCUGAGGGAGAUUUCU